Molecule: transfer RNA, 62 nt
Filed under: Cricetulus griseus (Chinese hamster)
Lineage: Eukaryota; Metazoa; Chordata; Mammalia; Rodentia; Cricetidae
Rfam family: tRNA
About the family: Transfer RNA (tRNA) molecules are approximately 80 nucleotides in length. Their secondary structure includes four short double-helical elements and three loops (D, anti-codon, and T loops).
Source: Rfam by way of RNAcentral
GGGGAUGUGGCUCAGUUGGUAGAGUGCUUGUCUAGUGUGCAUGAAGCUGGAUUCCGUCUCCA